AUGGUGCCCUGGUGGCCUGUAUUACAGUAGCCAGUACAAACAUGACAGAGGAUUUAUGAUUAACACUUGUUUCUUUGGAUAAUGUUAUAUGAAGCACCAAUACUUCAUACGAGGUAUACUUAAAA
This is a long non-coding RNA of Sinocyclocheilus anshuiensis, 125 nucleotides long. RefSeq lists it as uncharacterized. The record is from RefSeq and is a predicted model, not a curated record. Lineage: Eukaryota; Metazoa; Chordata; Actinopteri; Cypriniformes; Cyprinidae. The transcript is spliced from 3 exons.